UUGCUUCCAGAUGUUUCUUUAUGAUGUUUUGUUCUUCAAUAGGUCAAAUGAAACAUGUUCCUUAAUGACAUCAUCCUCCAGGAAGUGACAUCAUUUUUGGAGGGAAAUCGACAGCCCAGACAUCAGGAAAAGCUGGUCUUUAGGUCUGUGCAUUCCUCCAUCGCACAUUCCCUCCAAAACCUUCCCUGGAGAUGGCGUGUGUUUGGAGUUUCAGCUGGAGAUCAUGAAUCCAGUGUAAAGAUGAAGCUCCAUUAUCUCCGGCAUUCUGAAGGCAUCUGGCUUCACAGAACAUGGAAAUCUGCGGCACACGGAGCAGGUAUUCGGCCAUCAGCGAGCCAGUGGAAAAACUGAGAUGUUGGAUGUGAAUCUCAGAGAUAGCGGGCUGAAGUCAGUGAGGUAAUGACAGAAACCAGAAAAACAUCAGUCGGCAGAGAGCACUCGGGAAAACUUGAUUCUGACGGAACAUUCGUGAGAUUCAGAGUUGGAAUUGUUCUGAAUGUGACUGAUCGCUUCACCUGCUGGAUGAGAAAAACUAUAGACAUAAAAACUUAGACACGAAGCAAGCAUUUCAUUUACAGCUUAAAACUAAAACUUGAACAUUAUUCUUGUUUAUUCUUUCAGUCUUUCAAAUGCUGAUAUUUCCUUCAGAAAAUGCAAUCUAGUUUCCAUCAUUGUGUCUGCUCAGAAACACAUUGUCUUAAAAAAAGACUGUAAAUAUUAAAGGAUUUUAAAUAAUGAAAGGGUUAUUAAAUAUUAAAGGGUUUCAAAGACAGUAAUAUUACCGACUUGACUGCACUGACACUAUCAGAUGAGAACAAAACUUGAUCUGAUUAAUGACUCUAUUGUCUUCUGUAGAGCUGCUUUACAGCCGAAUUUGAAUUUGUCUCAUAUUUGAUGAAGUUUGCAUCAUUGAUUCUGUUAUUUUCCUGUUUAUUUCUGUGAAGCUGCUUUGAAACAAUCUGUAUUGUAUAAAGCGCUAUAGAAAUAAAUGAAUUCUGUAACACAAACUCCAAACCGCCAUCAGCAGGCUGUCAGUGAUCCAGUGAUAGAGGUUGUUAAUUGUUUGUCUCAGAUGAGUCCAGUUUUCCAUGUAGAAGGAAACGUGAGGAACAUCUGCUUUGAGUAUCUGAACAUAAAAUCUCCUCUUGUGUUUUUCCAUAUGCGGCUCCCGCUCAGACAGUAAAUAUGAUUUCAUGACACGAGUCUUCAGGUCCUUUUCCUUCAGUUGUUUGUACUGGAAAACAAGACAGAAAUUCUGAGGAAGAACAUAAUUUUUUUGCAGCGCAGAACCAGGUCAAUGGUCGAGCUCUUCUAGAAACACACUUGCAGUGUUAAACAUCCAUCUCAAUAGUUCUGGAUCAAGUUCAGACGUCACUCGAUCUGUUUACACUUUCUGUUCACACAUUCUUCUGAACGGAGGAAACACAAGCCGUCGUUACAAUCCAUCUGUGAACCUCUCAUAUAAUGCAUUUCACAAUGUUUAUGAAGAUUCAGUGCAGCUGAUCUGACAGAUCAUCUUCUUACAAAUAACUCCAUAUCUAAUGCAGUUUGAUGGAUGUUUUGAUCUGAGAACAACACUUGGACCAUUUAGAUCAGAGGACCAGAACUGUAUAGAAACAGAAAUAAAGAUGUGAAAGUAAACCACAUCAACACACACACACACUUGAGAUGUGAGUAUAUACAGUAGUGUUUCUCUCAGCUCGAGGUUGAAAUGUGAUCGUCUCAGGAGAGACUCAUAAAUUCUUCUCUUGAAUAAAUGGAGGUUAAACUGAAAAGCUCAACAGGAGGAAGGAUCUUUACUUGUCUGACGUUUAUUUAAGAAUAUAGAGAUCGUACAAAGACGUGUAUAGGUCAAGCGGUCAAAAAAAAACUAUAUCUAUAAAUACAAUAAAUAUCCUCAUUCAAAUUUUUUUGUAUUGCACUUUUUACAAUACAUAUCAUUUUGAAGAACGCUUACAGAAAAUGGAAUGUUGGAAUAUAAUGUAAUACUGCAAAAUGAAUCUGUUUUUUUAAAAGCAAAAAUCAUCACACAUUUGAGAAUUUUUAAAAAUAGUUUAUUUAUUUGUGAUGUUUAUGGAUCCAAGUUUAUGGAUUUUCUUAUAAUAUUCCCAAGUGGCAGCAUAUAUAUUUAAAAUAACAGAGGGCCUAACACCGAACCUUGUGGCACUCCAUAAUUUACUGACGUUAUCUUAGAUUUUUCCCCAUUUAAAUAGACAAAAUGGUGACAGUCUGAUAGGUACGAUCUAAACCACCUUAACGCAUGUUCCUGAAUACCAGUGUAAUUUUGUAGUCGAUCUAAGAGUAUUUUAUGAUCUAUAGUGUUGAACGCAGCUCUGAGAUCAAGUAAAACUAGUAUUGAGGUACAGCCUAUAUGAUGUGACGCUUUUCAUACAGAACAAACAAGUCAAGUCAGCUUUAUUUCUACAGAGCUUUAUACAGUACAGAUCGUUUCAAAGCAGCUUCACAGUAAUGAACAGAAAAAUAGCAGAAUCAGUGAUGCAAACUUCAUCAAAUAUGAGACAAAAUCAAUUUUUAGCUGUAAAUAGGGUUGCAAAGGGGCUGAAAAUUUCCAGAAACUAUCCAAAAGCUUCUGAAAAUUUCCACAAAAAACUUGGAAAGUUUCCAAAAAUCCUGGAAGGUUUCUGGAAACUUUGCAACCCUAGCUGUAAAGCAGCUCUGCAGAAGACAAUAGAGUGAUUAUUCAGAUCAGUUCAGCUCAAUAACAGUGUCACAGAACAUGAUUGAAAUCACGUCUGUAUGACCGGGUUCUUGAGCAAAACUCUGAUCAUCUGAGGCUGUUCUGUGGUCGAACAUGUGCAGAUGUGUGUUGUUUACAUUCACACAUGUUCCUGAUGAACAGAAGUGACAUGAGACGUUUGCUGACAUGACAAACACAACAGAUCUCUGAUCUCUGAGCGGAUCGUUGCGUCUGCUGACGACUCUGUCCUUCUGGGGUUUGUGUUUGAUAUUCAUCCUUCACAAUGUUUCUGCUGCUUCAGAUGUCUGAUGUUUGACACGAGCUUCCCGUCUCAAGGGAUUCACACUGCUGCGGGUGGUUUAUUAGUGAUCAGUCAUCACUAGUAAUACUCAUAAGUAAGAUUUUUCAAAGUUGUAAAUAAAACAAAGAUUAUGGGAGUAUCCCAGCUAACAGGGAAUGUUCUGGCAAGGUUCUCUCAGCAUCCAGUAACAUUAAUAGGAUGUUUGUUUAAAGUUAUCUGGUCUUUUUUAAAGAUGUAUUUUUUGGCGUUUUUGCUUUUGUUAUGAUAGGACAGUAAGCGAAGUGGGAGAGAUAGAAGGGGACGGGAUCGGGAAAGUGGACUCGGGUCGCCCAAAGCACAGCGGCGCUAUAUGUCGGUGCUGCCCACUAGGCUAUCUGCUUUUUUUAUCGGUCUUUAAUAAUGUUCUCAAAACAUUAGAACAAAAACGUUAUACAUUUUUCCUGAAACAUUAAGUUGGACGUUCAUCUAGCGUUUUUUAAAUGUUACUACUUGUUUCAGAACGUUCAGAGAACAUUUAAAACUGACGUUUUCAUAACUUUAUUAGUGUCAAUCAGUGUAAAUCUGACACAUAUUGGAUUUUUGGGAGCUUUAGGGGUUUUAAUUGUUUUAUCUUCUCCAACAAUCAUCAUUUUGCUUCAUGUGAUUGUAUUAUACGUGACGAGAAUGUGAUUGUGUUCUCUCAGUUUUCUGUCUGCUGUGAGUUUAUUUUGCCUCUCUCAUGUUUGUCAUGUGAUCUGGUGAAUGUAUAUCGCAGCAGAAGUGAGCGGCUCUAUAUCAUGUCUCCCAUCGGAAGAGCGUUCCGGAAAGCUUGAAGGCACGAGAGGAAUGAGCCGGACGCAUGUCUGUUUCUGCACUGAUCCGACUCGAGCCCUUGAGCAUGAAUGAGUUCAACACCUUCAUCUAUCAUCUCAACUUCCGCUUCUCACCAUAUAACAACACGUCUCUCUCUCUGCAGCUCACAGUAGCAGUAAAUGAACCCAGAACGGCCGUCUCACCAGCUGUGUUUCCAUCCAAAGUUGACAAUUUAGCUUAUGCACCAAAUUGGCAUAUGGCAUAAAACAUUUGCGAAUAAAGCAGCGUCUCCAUCCCAUGUGAACAUUCAAAAGAACAAAAUCAUCACUUCCUGGGAAAUUGGUGCAAAAUAUCAGUACUAAAACUGUAAGUUUCUUCAGUCGGGCUCUUUCUCCUCCAUCAUAAAUGAGUUGGUCUCAGAGCGUCAGACGAAACACAAUAAACGCUGUCAUGUGAUCUUGCGUUCGGAUGCUGGUGUUUGGGAACACAAUCGUGUGAGACGCUUCUGGAGGGAAUUAAAUCAAAUCAUUCUGAUGACAGACUUUGACUCAGACGUUUCAGAACCACCAAACCAACAUUUGUGAUGCUGCGAUGCGAUUGGUCCACUGGUUACUGCACUUUUUCAAUCACAGCCUCUGAAAUGCCUGAAAACACUCAAAUCAUCUUAGUCAUUAGAUGUAUUUGUAGAGUUUUUGAGCAAUGUUUUCUGGAAACAUUCAUUUUUGUGUUGAUCAUGUGUGAUGAACAGGUCCGUCAGUGACGUGGAGUGACGUGGCGCGUGUUCAAACACAUUCCUGACGCUCUUCUGCUGAGCGGCGAGUGUGUGAUGGACGACUUCACUCCGCCUCACAGUUACCGUAACCCGGGUCAGAUCUGCAGCUGGAGGGUGUCGGACAGAUGUGGAGGAGACCCGAUCGUUCCCAUUCCUGCAGAGACCGCACAUCUGACUGGCUGCUGAACUGGGUUCCUCUGAGGUUCUGACCCAUAUUUGAGGAUCGUGAUUCCUGAGCGUUACUGAUGCUGAACUCGUGUGAUUGCCUCCAAAAAAAAUGACGGAGGCUGAAGGCCUGAAGAUGAAGCAGCUGUUUGUUCUGACUUUGUGAAUGUCUCUGCCGCCCACUGUGCUGAUGCACUGGAUGUGGCUGAAAUCAGACAUUCCAGGGAUUCAGAGCUAAAUCCAUUAUCCUUGCUAUUCACCCCAAAUUCAGCGUCUGUCCGGUGACCUGCUCUCUGUUCGGGAUAUCGCCGUAAAACACAGAAUGGACUCGGCUAUGCUGUUGUGCAUCUGACGGCUUCAAUCCCGAUCGCUCGGCGCUGUUUGAAAUGCAUCACCCAACAUGACCCUUCUUCGCUACUUGUCAUUUUCUUCAUCCAGAAACAUUAAGCAAUCUGCACGGAUUUUGGACAUGUCUUUCCUGGAAGGUCAAGCGCAGUGUCAUGAGUAUGAGUAUUCCCUGAAGCAUGUGCUCCUUCACCCUGUGAUCACUGCUCAUGAUGAAGAGACAGAAGCAUCUCAAGAGGAGUCCAGACCGAAGCCCCGAGGACACGGCGAAGCAAACAUCGGGAAAGAGGCAAUGUAACAACAUCUACAACAUCACCUCUUCCCUGAAGUGACGGGUGAUCCACAGCCACUGAUCUGUGUUCAGUUAGACAGUAGUAACGACAAGAGUUGGAGACUGAGAAUUCCUGGCAUAAGCAUCUUAAACUCUUAAUUUUAUUUGAAAUAAACAUGAAGAGCUCCAAUUAAUAUUAAAGUCUGAAAUCCAAAUAAAAUCUAUUGACUCUCUUAA
Ctenopharyngodon idella (grass carp) is the source of this 5581-nucleotide long non-coding RNA. RefSeq lists it as uncharacterized. The transcript has 7 exons. NCBI's taxonomy places the organism in Eukaryota, Metazoa, Chordata, Actinopteri, Cypriniformes, Xenocyprididae. The record is from RefSeq and is a predicted model, not a curated record.